UGGAUUUUAGCUGAUAAAAUCCCAUAAAACCUAGAAUAAAGAAAGUGCAUGCAGAAGGUGUGCGCAGUGUAACUGAUGACGACGUCACCAUGAGGCCGCCGGAACACGAGAACGGCACCAAGACAACGAUGGCACCAUAGGCUGCUAGGGCUUGCGUCAAAGCCGAUAUAUUGAGGAGGAUGGGGCUUUACGCGGGCACGACACGAUGAGAUUGUCUUCAUGGCCAACGGCAAGGGCGAAAUCGUG
This 246-nucleotide long non-coding RNA is filed under the name Setaria italica (foxtail millet). RNAcentral's name for it is "long non-coding RNA (SITA_LNC005205)". The record is from RNAcentral. Lineage: Eukaryota; Viridiplantae; Streptophyta; Magnoliopsida; Poales; Poaceae.